AGCAGCCGCGGUAAUUCCAGCUCCAAUAGCGUAUAUUAAAGUUGUUGCAGUUAAAAAGCUCGUAGUUGAAUUUCGGGGUUAGUAGAUUGGUCAUGCCUCUGGUAUGCACUGGUCUUACUGAUUCCUCCUUCCUGAUGAACCGUAAUGCCAUUAAUUUGGUGUUGCGGGGAAACUGGGCUGUUACUUUGAAAAAUUAGAGUGUUUAAAGCAGGCUAACGCUUGAAUACAUUAGCAUGGAAUAAUGAAAUAGGACGUUCGAUCUUAUUUUGUUGGUUUCUAGGAUUGACGUAAUGAUUAAUAGGGAUAGUUGGGGGCAUUAGUAUUCAAUUGUCAGAGGUGAAAUUCUUGGAUUUAUUGAAGACUAACUACUGCGAAAGCAUUUGCCAAGGAUGUUUUCAUUAAUCAAGAACGAAAGUUAGGGGAUCGAAGACGAUCAGAUACCGUCGUAGUCUUAACCAUAAACUAUGCCGACUAGGGAUCGGAUGAUGUUAAUUUUUAAUGACUCAUUCGGCGCCUUACG
Molecule: ribosomal RNA, 520 nt
Filed under: uncultured Glomeromycotina
Lineage: Eukaryota; Fungi; Glomeromycota
Description: SSU rRNA
Rfam family: Eukaryotic small subunit ribosomal RNA
Source: RNAcentral